GGAGUGCAUAUUAUUUAUCCAUACUUAUAAGGUCCUAAACCAAACAUCUUAUAUAUUUACAAAAAGCAGGCAAGCUAAUUUUUCAUGCUAGCAUGACUUUGGCUGAAGAAACAACCCGCCAUCUGCUGUGAUCUGCCUGCUACUCCACAUCUUCCAUAUAUAAGAAAAGGCUCCUAACCUAGGUAAGUAUGUCAUGGCAGGAGCAAUAUGCUAAUCAAAUAAUCAUACCCUGCCACCAGUUUCCUCUAGAAGCACUCCCAGAGUCAUCUUCUGUCCCAUCUUUCUUGACCAUUGAGGUCAUAUUAGAGAUCUGGCUAUUCUGGGGAUGAUGAUAAAUGUCCUGACCACCAUAAUAGAUUGAUGAACUGAGAGGACAUGGCUGUACUCUUUGUUCCUGAUAAAAGGAAUUUGUAUCUCUACUUGGCACGUUCUGACCUUCACCCUGAUUGCUUUUAGAAAUUUCAUCUGAAAAUACAGCACGAUGACUCAGAGAGUUGUUUCAGACACCAAACUGAAUCUUAAAAAAAA
RNAcentral lists this unclassified non-coding RNA (528 nucleotides) under Hevea brasiliensis (rubber tree). The record is from RNAcentral. Lineage: Eukaryota; Viridiplantae; Streptophyta; Magnoliopsida; Malpighiales; Euphorbiaceae.